Molecule: ribosomal RNA, 916 nt
Filed under: uncultured bacterium
Lineage: Bacteria
Description: bacterial SSU rRNA
Rfam family: Bacterial small subunit ribosomal RNA
Source: RNAcentral
AGAGUUUGAUCAUGGCUCAGGACGAACGCUGGCGGCGUGCUUAAUACAUGCAAGUCGAGCGAGGUUACUGUUUUGGAUCCCUUCGGGGUGAAGAAGCUUUAACCUAGCGGCGGACGGGUGAGUAACGCGUGGGUAACCUACCCCAAAGUCCGGGAUAACAGCGGGAAACCGCUGCUAAUACCGGAUGUCUUUACCUUGGGGCAUCUUGAGGUAAAGAAAGGUAACGCUUUGGGAUGGGCCCGCGUCCCAUUAGCUAGUUGGUGAGGUAACGGCUCACCAAGGCGACGAUGGGUAGCCGGCCUGAGAGGGUGGACGGCCACACUGGGACUGAGACACGGCCCAGACUCCUACGGGAGGCAGCAGUAGGGAAUAUUGCGCAAUGGACGGAAGUCUGACGCAGCGACGCCGCGUGAGCGAUGAAGGUCUUCGGAUCGUAAAGCUCUGUCCUUGGGGAAGAAGGCGAAAGCUUGACGGUACCCAAGAAGAAAGCCCCGGCUAACUACGUGCCAGCAGCCGCGGUAAUACGUAGGGGGCGAGCGUUGUCCGGAAUUACUGGGCGUAAAGGGUGCGUAGGCGGCCCUUUAAGUCGGAUGUGAAAGCCCGCGGCUUAACCGCGGAAUGGCAUUCGAAACUGGAGGGCUUGAGUGUCGGAGAGGGUAGUGGAAUUCCCAGUGUAGCGGUGAAAUGCGUAGAUAUUGGGAGGAACACCAGUGGCGAAGGCGACUACCUGGACGAUAACUGACGCUGAGGCACGAAAGCUAGGGGAGCAAACAGGAUUAGAUACCCUGGUAGUCCUAGCCGUAAACGAUGGGUACUAGGUGUGGGUGGUUUCGAUACCAUCCGUGCCGUAGUUAACGCAUUAAGUACCCCGCCUGGGGAGUACGUGCGCAAGCAUGAAACUCAAAGGAAUUGACGG